ACUCCUACGGGAGGUAGCAGUGGGGAAUAUUGCACAAUGGGCGCAAGCCUGAUGCAGCGACGCCGCGUGGGGGAUGACGGCCUUCGGGUUGUAAACUCCUUUCGCUAGGGACGAAGCUUUUUGUGACGGUACCUAGAUAAGAAGCACCGGCUAACUACGUGCCAGCAGCCGCGGUAAUAC
Molecule: ribosomal RNA, 180 nt
Filed under: uncultured bacterium
Lineage: Bacteria
Description: partial 16S ribosomal RNA
Rfam family: Bacterial small subunit ribosomal RNA
Source: RNAcentral